RNAcentral lists this ribosomal RNA (1083 nucleotides) under Triticum aestivum (bread wheat). RNAcentral's name for it is "partial small subunit ribosomal RNA". Lineage: Eukaryota; Viridiplantae; Streptophyta; Magnoliopsida; Poales; Poaceae. The record is from RNAcentral.
AUGCAUGCCGACGCCAUGGAAGUCGCCGGCGGCAAACGAAAGCGCGCGGCCUCCUCCGAUGCAGGCGCAGGUGACGGCACGGACUGCCUGAGCAACCUUCCGGACUGCCUCCUCCACGGCAUCCUCUCGCAGCUCCGGUCCCGGCAGGCCGUGCAGACGUGCGCCCUGUCGCGGCGGUGGCGCCAGCUCUGGCGCGCCGUCCCCUGCGUCGACAUCGACGCCGCGGACUUCCUGGUCCAAGUCGAUGGGAAUCCCACGAUUGUUGUCUCCGAUCCAUCGGAUCACGAGACUGAGGCGGCGCUGGCCAGGCUGGAGGAUUUCGCCGACAGUCUGCUGUCCCGCCGCAGCCUCUCCGCCGCCUUGAUGACGGGGUCGGCGUUGGACACCCUGCGCCUGCGCAUCCAUCGCCAGGAUACAGGAGGCCCACGCAGCAGCACCGGCACGGCGAUGCUCAGCAGGUGGAUUCGCCGCGGCCUGAGGCUGUCGCCGGCGGAGCUCGACGUGACCGGCGACGGCGGCCCGAUCAAGCUACCCUCCCUCUUCUCCUCUGCUGGCGGCCGCCGCAUCACCAAGCUCCGCCUUGACAACGUGCUCCUCCACAGGGACGCCGAGGGCCUCCUCGGCUCUGGCGGGCUCCCCGCCCUUGAAGACCUGGAGCUCAGUAACGUCCUCCUCCUGCCCGGGGUGUCGGUGAUCGCGUCGGACACGCUAAGGACCCUCACCGUCGUCGACGCGUCCCGGCAAAGUGGACUAAGACGCAGGAGCAUCAUCGGCAUCGUCGCACCUCGCCUGGCAUCGCUGAGGCUCGAGUUCCGGCUCGCCCGCCUCACCACGGUUAGUUUCACCGUAGACGAGGCAUCAUCCUCCUGUCUCGCCCACGCAUCCCUCCGCGUACUGGACAUCGGCGAGCCUCGGCAAGACGACGACGACCACGACGACGACAGCGACGGCGACGAUUCUGACGGCGACGAACUAGACCAACAGGACACGAGGUCGCUGGUAAGCGAUCUCAGCCGUAUCCUCGGCUCCCUAUGCAAUGUCACCAGCUUGCACCUGUCGGGCUUCGAUGACAUGACAGUAUGA